Molecule: long non-coding RNA, 1411 nt
Filed under: Felis catus (domestic cat)
Lineage: Eukaryota; Metazoa; Chordata; Mammalia; Carnivora; Felidae
Description: lncRNA (ENSFCAG00000050536.1)
Source: RNAcentral
GAACAGAGAGUUACCACAGCCAGCCCUGCCCAGUGGGGCAUUACUGUCCAGCCAAGACUCACAGCCCCAGGCCCUGCCCCUCAGGAACCUUUGGAAACAGCAGCCAGGCAGGGGCAGUUGGAGAGUGCCUGCCAUGCCCCGCAGGCACCUUCAGUGCCCAUCCUGGCCAGGCCGGCUGCCUCCCCUGUGGGAGCUCUUCUUUCUCUCCACCUGGUGCCUCCCACUGCACGUGUCGGGGCCUUAACAGGGUCUUCCAGAAGUCAGAUGGUUCCUGCAUCUGCCAGGCAGGACAUGAGUCCUACAGCAGGAGGGGCCUGGAAAGUGAGGAGAACGACAGCGAUGAGGACUGUCAGCCCCAGGUAACACCUCACUCAGCCUUAGGAAAGGAAGGCUUGAGGAGAGUGAGGAGAGGUAGCAUUUAUGGGUCCCUCUGCAUGCCAGCUGCUUUUCAUUGUCUGUUGGGUUAAUGUGUAGUCCUUUGUGGUGGAUGGAUUACCUCCUAUACAAAUGAGAACACUUUAGAAAGCUCUCAUGAUAAGACAUAUUUCUCCUUAUCAUAGACCCACAAAUUUCAGCAUUCAUUAUAAAGGAUCUUAGGAGAGUAAUUUGAUCACUCCACCCAGUCUCCCUAGAGUUGGACCUCCCAGUUACCUCUUCCAAGCAGCAAACUUGUCUUCUAUUACUAUUGUAGGUUCCCUCUACCUCAAGCCUAACCUUAAUCUUAGGGUGCUAACUAAAUGACCUCUCAGGGAGCCUGGUUCCCCAGAGGCCCCAUCAUGUCCCUGGAAUGUUCUCUGAUGCUGAGAGUGCCCUCAUCCUGGGCCUGCAGGGGGUUCCAGAGCCAGGACUCUUCUCCCACAUCCUCCUUCAGGUCGCUGAGCGCUGCUCAGCUGGAGAAGUACGUCUGGCUGCCACCCGCAAGUGUGUGUCCCCCCAGCUGCACAACUGCUCCUCUUUCUGCCACCCAGUGGAUGGGAAGCUCAGCACUGAACUGGGAAUCUGCCAGUGCCAGGAAUAUGUAUCAGCAGAAGAGCUCUGUGAUGCCCAGUGUCUGGCUAAGGCCCCCCAACUCUCCCUGGCCUGGGGUUCCAGCAGGGAGCUGAUCCUCAGCGUGAAGGGCGAGGCUGGAGACCAUGACCAGAGGGAAGUAUCAAGCACUCUGGGCCCAGACCAGUUCUUCCAAGAGAAUGCCAGGGUCCAUCUGGUCCAAUGUGGUCCCCGUGGCAUCUUUGGCUUUGUCAUCUCCAGAGUGGACAUGCUUGACUCUUUCCUUCUUGGUAAGCAGAGGAGGAAUACCAAGCCCAGGCUUUCCCAGAGCGAGUGCAAGGGGGUAAAGGAUAUGGCUGCAUUCUUUCAGCAAGGGAUGGCCCCUCAGAAACUUCUCAGCCCUGUCUUGGUGUUCAAAAGGUGA